RNAcentral lists this ribosomal RNA (253 nucleotides) under uncultured bacterium. RNAcentral describes it as "partial 16S ribosomal RNA". It matches the Rfam family "Bacterial small subunit ribosomal RNA", at positions 524 to 776 of the family's 1533-position model. The record is from RNAcentral.
UACGUAGGGUGCGAGCGUUAAUCGGAAUUACUGGGCGUAAAGCGUGCGCAGGCGGUUUUGUAAGACAGGCGUGAAAUCCCCGGGCUCAACCUGGGAAUUGCGCUUGUGACUGCAAAGCUGGAGUGCGGCAGAGGGGGAUGGAAUUCCGCGUGUAGCAGUGAAAUGCGUAGAUAUGCGGAGGAACACCGAUGGCGAAGGCAAUCCCCUGGGCCUGCACUGACGCUCAUGCACGAAAGCGUGGGGAGCAAACAGG